AUGGCAUGAUGAUGAUAUCAGUGAACCUUUCCAUAUGAUUAAACACAGGAUUAAAAUAUCCUCCUACUCAUUCUGA
Molecule: small nucleolar RNA, 76 nt
Organism: Lathyrus oleraceus (garden pea)
Lineage: Eukaryota; Viridiplantae; Streptophyta; Magnoliopsida; Fabales; Fabaceae
Product: small nucleolar RNA Z105
Exons: 1
Source: RefSeq, a predicted model, not a curated record